This 74-nucleotide transfer RNA is filed under the name Candidatus Auribacterota bacterium. RNAcentral describes it as "tRNA-Met". It matches the Rfam family "tRNA". Rfam says of the family: Transfer RNA (tRNA) molecules are approximately 80 nucleotides in length. Their secondary structure includes four short double-helical elements and three loops (D, anti-codon, and T loops). Further hydrogen bonds mediate the characteristic L-shaped molecular structure. tRNAs have two regions of fundamental functional importance: the anti-codon, which is responsible for specific mRNA codon recognition, and the 3' end, to which the tRNAs corresponding amino acid is attached (by aminoacyl-tRNA synthetases). tRNAs cope with the degeneracy of the genetic code in two manners: having more than one tRNA (with a specific anti-codon) for a particular amino acid; and 'wobble' base-pairing, i.e. permitting non-standard base-pairing at the 3rd anti-codon position. Lineage: Bacteria; Pseudomonadati; Candidatus Auribacterota. The record is from RNAcentral.
CGCGGGGUGGAGCAGUCCGGUAGCUCGUCGGGCUCAUAACCCGAAGGUCAUCAGUUCAAAUCUGAUCCCCGCUA